CUCCUAUCCUACACUAGACUUGAUCAAAUAGUCUCAUUAAAUAUGUACAUUUUAUUAAAAAUAUUUAACUUAAAUUGUAAUUAUUUCUCAAAUCACAUUAUUGUGAUAUUUCCCACAAAAUAUAACCUAUGUUGGUUUUCUUAUCUAAUGUAUAAAAUACUUUUCUUCAUAGUACCUACCAUACAUUAUAAUAUACAUUUAUUGACCCUAUACUAUACUAUACUCCAAAUACACACAGUUGCACUUUAUAGUAUGUGCAAUUUCCACACAAAUCCCUACAUCAUUAAUUUAUCUCUCUCACCAAUCACCUUCUCCAUCCUUUCCCUUUAA
Vicia faba (fava bean) is the source of this 330-nucleotide non-coding RNA. The record is from the annotation of a GenBank genome assembly. NCBI's taxonomy places the organism in Eukaryota, Viridiplantae, Streptophyta, Magnoliopsida, Fabales, Fabaceae.